Long non-coding RNA from Topomyia yanbarensis, 2378 nucleotides. RefSeq lists it as uncharacterized. Lineage: Eukaryota; Metazoa; Arthropoda; Insecta; Diptera; Culicidae. The record is from RefSeq and is a predicted model, not a curated record. The transcript has 3 exons.
UGAUCGCACAUUUGUCCCAUUUUCUAUGGGAUUUUCUAUCUUUAUGGGCCUCUUUUGCGAUCAUGGGCAGUAUACAAGUAGAAGCAAUAUGCGCAAUCAAACGAAAUAAAAAUUUUCCAAAUAGGAUUAUGAAUCUGACCAAACCUUCUUUUGCAAUUUUUUAAAUAUUUACGAUUUGCAGAUGGGCCCUUUUUUAAAUGUUUGGCUAGAAUCCAGAUUCACUUGAAUUCUCUCCACGCAUCUCUGUAUUUAUCCAUUGACUCUGAAUAUUAGUGUUCGCGGGAUUUGAAAAAAAUUCUCCUCAGAAUCUUUGGAGGAUUCAGAUAGAUGUUUCUCAAUUUUACGUGACCUCCUGUGGCGGAUCCGACCUGGCUAUUAGACUUUAUGCUGGUGUAUUGACUGUCACGUCCGAAAAAUGAGCCUUGCUUUUGGGAUGGACGGGUCUAAUCGCUGCUUGCGAGCUGCUGCCUACCCGCUUUAUAUAUCUUACAUCUUGCCUUCGGAUAUAUGGAGUAGUACGGCGCGGUCGUACAAGAGUUACUCGGUCUGUGAGAUCCGAGUCUCUACAACCACAGCCAGGAUGGCGAAGUUUGGUCACGUAAGACAUCUCCCAGAGUAGCUGGUAUCAGCUAAAAUAAGAUCAGAACUUAGCAAGAUUAUUUUUCCGCGUAUUGCUUAAUGCAAUGAUUAAUGCUGGCUAUUCACACAGUAACAUGGUAAACCGUUGCAUUGGAUGAAUUAUUUCCUGAUGCGAUUAAAUAGUAACUUCAACGAAUCAACUGCCUGAAGGAGUUACAUUAAAUGUUAAGCAAUGACACCAAUGGCGUUUUAGUUUUUUUAUAAUGCCGGUGAAGUUGGUGCUACCCUCAUUUUAAAUUGGGUGUAAUCAGUCUAUCUCCUUUUUUGCACUACACCGGUGUAGCACCAAGAAAAAACGAAAACGCUUUAAGGCACAUGCAUUGCAGUGGUAGAAGGUUUUCAAUUAAUUUUUUAAAAGUUGGUUUUGUUUUCUUUUAUGUUAGGAAAUGCUUCAGUUAGGUAAUUUUUUCCAGACUAAGGGCCGAUUUCUUCACCCUCGCUUAACUUUUAAACCAGGCUUAACGAAAUUUUAAACCAGGUUUAAUUUUUUUUCGAUUUCUUCAGGUUCGCUUAGCGUCUAAACCAGGUUCAAAUUAAGCCGGGUUUAGGAUAAGCGACGUUUAAUUUAAGCGGUGCUAUGAGGUGGUUUAACGACGCUAAACUCGUUAAGUAAAGAUAUUCAUUUUCUUCACUAUACUGUGUAGCAUUUCACUCUUCGUUCGCCAAACAUUUUCAAACAAGAAAAUGUAUAGUCGGCGUAAACAUAUUUGGGAACAGCCACAUUGGAGAUUUUGGGAAGAUAUCGAUGAAGAUAGUGAGGAAAACUAUUUUCAAUUGGCUCGUCGCCAAUAUAAAAUGAAAGUUCGCAUCAACAUUGACAACUGGGACGACGAGGACUUUUUCAUGAGAUUCCGUUUGCAAAAGAACACUGUAAUGAUGAUCUUGCAAAUUAUUCGUUCAUCUUUGGAAAUUGAUGAAACCAGGUAUUUGAACCAGUUUAUUAAUAAAAUGAAAAUAAUUUGAAUGUUUAAUGUAGAUCUCGACACAUCCGGCCGUUGGUGCAAUUAUUGAUCACACUUCGGUUUUAUGCCUUAGGAUCAAUGCAAAUCGCAAUUGCGGACUUCUCCGGUGUUUGUAUUUCAUCUGUAUGCCGUAUUAUUCGACGUGUAUCGCUUGCUUUAGCGUAAAUGUACUUACGCUUUAUAAAGAUGCCACAAACGCAGAGUGAACUGCAGGCAGCAAGCCGUGACUUCUACGCUAUUGCUAAAUUUCCGAGAACAAUAGGUGCGAUCGAUUGUAUACACAUCAAAAUACAAUCACCUGGUGGUGACCAAGCUGAGAGCUACCGGAAUCGUAAAUCUUGGUUUUCGCUUAAUGUACAGACAGUUAGCUCGGCGAAUUUAAAAAUAUUGAACAUCGUCGCAAGGUGGCCUGGGGCAUCCCACGACCAAUAAAUUUUUAAUAAUUCUACUUUAAAGAUGCAAUUCGAGGAGGGGAAAUAUAGCAACUUUAUACUCGUUGGUGAUUCUGGAUAUCGCAAUACAAAGUACUUGGCGACACCUUUUUUUCGAUGUAACACUUCCGUUGAAGCUCUAUAUAACGAAAGUUUAAUCCGUACCCGAAAUGUUGUAGAACGUUCAUAUGGCGUGUUGAAACGACGAUUUCCAAUUCUUGCAUUAGGAAUGCGAGUGAAAAUAUCAACAGUUCAGCUUAUUACUGUUGCGUGCGCAGUAUUACAUAACAUUGCUAUCGAUGUCAAGGAAGGGAUGCCACCAGAAGAAAUUGAGGGAUUUGACGAA